RNAcentral lists this ribosomal RNA (253 nucleotides) under uncultured bacterium. Its description in RNAcentral is "partial 16S ribosomal RNA". It matches the Rfam family "Bacterial small subunit ribosomal RNA", at positions 524 to 776 of the family's 1533-position model. The record is from RNAcentral.
GACGGACCGAGCGAACGUUGUUCGGAAUCACUGGGCUUAAAGGGCGCGUAGGCGGGUGCUCAAGUCCGGGGUGAAAUCCUCCAGCUCAACUGGAGAACUGCCUCGGAUACUGGGUGCCUCGAGUGUGGUAGGGGUGUGCGGAACUAUCGGUGGAGCGGUGAAAUGCGUUGAUAUCGAUAGGAACUCCGGUGGCGAAGGCGGCACACUGGACCACAACUGACGCUGAGGCGCGAAAGCCAGGGGAGCAAACGGG